AUAAUUCUUAACUAAAAUAAUCUAUUGUUGAACACAAUAAAUCAAAUUUAUUUCACAGAUAAAACAGAGAAGAAAGAAAAGCUGAACACACAGAUGUGUGUCUUGUAGAAUAAUUAACUCAGCCAGAAUAAUUCAUUGAACAUCUAUUAAAUGCAAGGUGGUUUUCUCAGAACGGGGAAUAACAAUAACAUCUUCCUAUGUGCCAGUUCUAUCUCACACUAACUCCAAACUGAGGUUUCACAUCUCCGAAAGCUUUAAUCACUGAGAUCCUCCCUCCUCC
RNAcentral lists this long non-coding RNA (280 nucleotides) under Pan troglodytes (chimpanzee). Its description in RNAcentral is "long non-coding RNA NONPTRT017264". Lineage: Eukaryota; Metazoa; Chordata; Mammalia; Primates; Hominidae. The record is from RNAcentral.